Molecule: transfer RNA, 71 nt
Filed under: Marmota monax (woodchuck)
Lineage: Eukaryota; Metazoa; Chordata; Mammalia; Rodentia; Sciuridae
Description: tRNA.Val
Source: RNAcentral
GGGGUUGUGGCUCAGCGGUAGAGCGUUUGCCUCACACAUGCAACAUGCUGAGUUCGAUCCUCAGUACCACA